Molossus molossus (Pallas's mastiff bat) is the source of this 148-nucleotide small nucleolar RNA. RefSeq annotates it as small nucleolar RNA SNORA79. NCBI's taxonomy places the organism in Eukaryota, Metazoa, Chordata, Mammalia, Chiroptera, Molossidae. The transcript has a single exon. The record is from RefSeq and is a predicted model, not a curated record.
UGAUGGCUUUUCCUCUCACUGCUUGGAGCCUUAGGUAGUGGGAUUUUAGUCCAUCAUAUAUCUAAGCUAAUUUGUUUUCAGUCAGAGCACCAUGGGAAUGGGUUGGCUGUCCAUUAGUGCCUUAUGGGUUCUGUGGAGUUGAACAAUU